GACGCUCUCCCCAAGGACACAAGCCAUGCAUGCCCGCGCACCCGGGAGGCGGCGGUACGGCUCAGGACAACGGUUGCACCCCCCGCUGCGGGUCCCUGCUAGCCGGACCAACCCCUGCCAACCCGGCGCCAAGACGUGCGCGCAAGGGCGGGCKCCCGCGGGCGAGCAGCGUGACGCAG
Molecule: ribosomal RNA, 179 nt
Filed under: Giardia duodenalis
Lineage: Eukaryota; Fornicata; Diplomonadida; Hexamitidae
Description: Giardia intestinalis partial small subunit ribosomal RNA
Source: RNAcentral